GAUGAACGCUGGCGGCGUGCCUAAUACAUGCCAGUCGAGCGAACAGACGAGGAGCUUGCUCCUCUGACGUUAGCGGCGGACGGGUGAGUAACACGUGGAUAACCUACCUAUAAGACUGGGAUAACUUCGGGAAACCGGAGCUAAUACCGGAUAAUAUAUUGAACGGCAUGGUUCAAUAGUGAAAGACGGUUUUGCUGUCACUUAUAGAUGGAUCCGCGCCGCAUUAGCUAGUUGGUAAGGUAACGGCUUACCAAGGCAACGAUGCGUAGCCGACCUGAGAGGGUGAUCGGCCACACUGGAACUGAGACACGGUCCAGACUCCUACGGGAGGCAGCAGUAGGGAAUAUUCCGCAAUGGGCGAAAGCCUGACGGAGCAACGCCGCGUGUGUGAUGAAGGUCUUCGGAUCGUAAAGCUCUGUUAUUAGGGAAGAACAAAAGUGUAAGUAACUAUGCACGUCUUGACGGUACCUAAACAGAAAGCCACGGCUAACUACGUG
Molecule: ribosomal RNA, 497 nt
Filed under: uncultured bacterium
Lineage: Bacteria
Description: partial 16S ribosomal RNA
Rfam family: Bacterial small subunit ribosomal RNA
Source: RNAcentral